AAAAAGCUACUCUGUCUCUCUUUCACAAAAAACCCUAAUCCCCAAAUCCCAGUUUCACCCAAAAUUCAAUAUAUUAAGCCAUUUAUUCGAUGCGAUAUAACAAGGUCUAAAUGAACAGAUGCCAAUCGGAGAAAAGGAAGCUUAAGUCAAUAUAACAUAUUAAACCAUUUAUCCGAGGUCCGUUUUCGGUUGUUGUUGUUGUUUCUGGUGGUGGUGAUAGUGUGAAUUUGUUCUAAGAGGCGUGGGAGGUCUGUGUCUAAGAAUAAUGACGGUGAUGAUGCUGGUAGUGCAGAUAGGGUUGUUUCGGAUAGUGAUUGAGGAAAAGGCGGUCUAUUUCGGUUGUUCAACAUCAGAUUAGUGGCUCCGAGAUCCAGAGGAAGAACGUCGAUGGAUGGCUCAAGAAGUACGCAGUUACGUUGAAGCAGUUCUCAACACCCUUGCUGCCAAUGUCCAAAGGCAGUUGUUCAUUGCCAAGUAGAAAAGGCUAAAGAAGAUAGCUCAAUAAACUAGUUUUAUAAAAGUGGAAAGAAAGAAUGCGUGGCUAAAUCUGCAGCUGAAACUAAACCUCAAGCUGUUAUGCUGAAAUAACGUCAGGCUUAUGUGGUUUGAACUUAGAACAUGUUUAAAAAAAUUCUUAGUGCUUACAAAUUUUUUUCAUCUGGUUUAUCAAAUUUUCACUUGAAUGAUGAUCAAAGUUUGACUUUUCAUGGUUAAAUGUUCACCUUCAAAUGCAUAAUCAUUGUUAACUAUAUAGUGAUUGUUAUAGAAUUCGUUGGAUUC
RNAcentral lists this long non-coding RNA (780 nucleotides) under Helianthus annuus (common sunflower). RNAcentral's name for it is "hypothetical non coding rna". Lineage: Eukaryota; Viridiplantae; Streptophyta; Magnoliopsida; Asterales; Asteraceae. The record is from RNAcentral.